CAGCAAACGCGCAUGCGCCCGGCAGAUAACGGAAAGGCAUUCCGGGCAGGAAACAAUCAGGGCCAGCUAACACCUCCCAACAAAGGAUUGCCCCCUAGGCAGGCUUUGAAGCUGCCAGGCUAUUCAGUGCUAAUCAAGAAUAUUUGGAAGAAUAUACAUUGAACUGUGAGAAAAGGCCGGUAGCAGAUGCAAUAAUAGGAAAGCCUUAGGUUUGCAGCCAGUUCGGACUUCCUCCGGAUGGUGAUGUAUCGGUUGUAAUGAAACUCCUUCUCCAGCUCGAGUCUUUGGUGGUCCGAGUAGACAAUGCGGUACUUCUCGGUCGUCCUUGUUUUGCCUAUUUGGGGGGAAACAAACAAACAAAUAUCUCUGCCUGGUAUUGUUUAUCUCAAGAUUGAGUGUCUCUUAUAGGUGUAUCUUGAUCAGAUAUGGAAUGGAAAUCACAACUUGGGGUCCCCCUAACAUCUCCAGCACCAUUGAUCCAAUACAACAGCCAGCUGGGUGUCUGCUGUGGACUCAUCUUGUUGUGUUUCAAAUAAUAAUAAUACAAGUAAAACAAGCAGUCAAAGAAGAAGAACAUGCCCUGGCAGAAUAUAUAAAGCAAAGUGAAGAACUUGCUUUGAUUGAAGUCAAAAAUCUCAAACUCCUCAAAACACAGCAGACAAAGAAUCGGUACAAGAAGACUGCACCACAAACUAGAGCUGACAGCUGGAACCACAAAGCAUUGCAUGGGAAGUUCCUUGACAAAAUUGAAGGAAAAGCUGACAAGGAGAAGACCUGGCUAUGGCUCACGAAUGGGACCCUGAAGAAGGAGACAGAAGGCCUGAUCCUUGCAGCCCAGGAGCAAGACAUCAGGACAAAGGCAAUUAAGGCCAAGAUCGAAAAAUCAGCUCACGAUCGUGUUAAAAAACAAAAGUAUGGAUUGUCGAUGUUGCAAUCCCAGGGGACAGCAGAAUUGAUGAAAAACAACUGGACAAGCUGACACAAUAUGAGGAUUUAAAGUUAUUAUUAUUAUUAUUAUUAUUAUUAUUAUUAUUAUUAUUAUUAUUAUUAUUAUGUCACAGCAAACAAGAUAGAUAUGCUGGAUUUCGUAUCACAAACUCACAAGUCAAACACUUCCCAAGCGUCUAGGACUGUGAGAUGUAUUUUCGGAUGAUGUGUGCAGAUCCCAGUCCGGUGGCCUUUUGCAGUUGGCAGAUUGUAAUUUUGUCAAUGUCUAUUGUUUCCAAAUGCCGGCUGAGAUCUUUUGGCACGGCACCCAAUGUGCCGAUCACCACCGGGACCACCUGCACUGGUUUCUGCCAGAGUCUUUGAAGUUCAAUCUAUUAUUAUUAUUAUUAUUAUUAUUAUUAUUAUUAUUAUUAUUGACACAACGAUGUUGUAUGACACAGCAAACAAGAUAGGUAUGCUGGAUUUCGUUUCACAAAAUCACAAGUCGAACACUUCCCAAGUGUCUAGGACUGUGUGAUGUAUUUUCGGAUGAUGCGUGCAGAUCCCAGUAAGGUGGCCUUUUGCAGUUGGCAGAUCGUAAUUUUGUCAAUGUCUUUUGUUUCCAAAUGCCGGCUGAGAUCUUUUGGCACGGCACCCAGUGUGCCCAUCACCACCGGGACCACCUGCACUGGUUUCUGCCAGAGUCUUUGAAGCUCAAUCUUGAGGUCCUGAUAGCGGCUGAUUUUUUCCUGUUGUUUUUCAUCAAUGCGACUGUCACCUGGGAUGGCAACAUCAAUGAUCCAAACCUUGUUCUUUUCCACAACUGUGAUGUCUGGUGUGUUGUGUUCCAGAACUUUGUCAGUCUGGAUUCGGAAGUCCCACAGUAUCUUUGCGUGUUCAUUUUCCACAACCUUUAGAGGUUUGUGAUCCCACCAGUUCUUUACUGCAGGGAGGUGGUACUUGAGGCAUUAAUAAUAAUAAUAAUCAUCAUCAUCAUCAUCAUCAUAAUCAUAAUCAUCAUAAUUAUUAUCAUUAUUAUUAUUCAGGAGCCCCCAGUGUCAUAGUGGGUUAAAGCCUUGUGACUUGAAGGUUGGGUUGCUGACCUGAAGGCUGCCAGGUUCGAAUCCAACCCAGGGAGAGCGUGGAUGAGCUCCCUCUAGUAGCUCCAGCUCCAUUCGGGGACAUGAGAGAAGCCUUCCACAAAGAUGGUAAAAACAUCAAUGCCAAUGUCCCCUUGGCAAUGUCCUUGCAGACCAAUUCUCUCACACCGGAAGUGACUUGCAGUUUCUCAAGUUACUCCGGAUACAAAAAAUUAUUAUUAUUAUUAUUAUUAUUAUUAUUAUUAUUAUUAUUAUUGUUAUUAUUAGUCAACCGGGGACUUGAAGACCCAAGGUUCCUCUUGCAGGACAAAACACUCACCUCCGGCUUGACCUGGGUUUAGGAUACUGGGGUUAAAUGUAGCAGUGUGAGACUCGGCCCAAAUUGAGGAGCGGGUUGGAUGCCGAAGGGAGACAGAAGGGACAAGGCUUUGUUUCCCUCCUCAGCCAUAAAAUUCACAGGGCAUUCCUUCCGAGCACAAUAAAGGUCUCUUUUAUUUGCUGUGAAAAUUAUCACCCUUUCCGGCCAUAUAAGGGGAGAGAGAAAGAGAGAAGGAGGAAGAGAAGGGGGGGAUGCAUAUCAAAGCCAGGGAGGUGUGAAAAAGGGUAGCCAGAUAAGGCCAGGACGGAGGCCUCUGAACUGGGGACAAUGGGACCACGGGUCAGGACAGGCCGGCGACCUCGCAGCUGGUUGGUAAAGGGGAAAACAACAUCCCAUGAGACAAAAACCCCUUCGGGUCUUCCUCUUUAUGUCUCUUGACAUCCUCCUCGGCACAGGGCUGGGUCCACCUCUGGCAUCGCAGCAUCUCUGCCUUGGAAGGGGCGGGGACACCAAAGGCCAUCUAAUCCAGCCUUUGAAAAAUCUCCCCUUCUUAUUUUAGUUCUCCUCCUCCUGCACUCCUGUUUUCCUAGGGCCCUUCCAGACAGUGAUAUAAACCAGAAUAUCAAGGCAGAAAAUCCCACAGUAUCUGCUUUGAAAAUGUAUACAGUAUUUAUUAUUUCAGUAGUCUCACUUAUCCAAGCCUCGCUUAUCCAAGCUUCUGGAUUAUCCAAGCCAUUUUUAUAGUCGGUGUUUUCAAUAUAUCGUGAUAUUUUGGUGCUAAAUUCGUAAAUACAGUAAUUACAACAUAACAUUACUGCGUAUUGAACUGCUUUUUCUGUCAAAUUUGUUGUAAAGCAUGAUGUUUUGGUGCUUAAUUUGUAAAAUCAUAACCUAAUUUGAUGUUUAAUAGGCUUUUCCUUAAUCCCUCCUUAUUAUCCAAGAUAUUCACUUAUCCUAGCUACUGCUGGCCCGUUUAGCUUGGAUAAGUGAGACUCUACUGUAUUUAUUUAUUUGCAACAUUUAAAUCCUGCCCUUCUCACCCCAAAGGGAUCUCAGGGCGGCUUACAAGUUAUAUGUACAUACAAUAUGUUAUAUUAUUAGCAUAGCACAAUAUAAGUACUAUAUACAGUAGAGUCUCACUUAUCCAACGUUCUGGAUUAUCCAACACAUUUUUGUAGUCAAUGUUUUCAAUACAUCGUGAUAUUUUGGUGCUAAAUUCGUAAAUACAGUAAUUACUAUGUAGCAUUACUGCAUAUUGAACUACUUUUUCUACCAGAUUUGUGGUAAAACAUGAUGUUUUGGUGCUUAAUUUGUAAAAUCAUAACCUAAUUUGAUGUUUAAUAGGCUUCUCCUUAAUCUCUCCUUAUUAUCCAACAUAUUCGCUUAUCCAACUUUCUGCCGGCCCGUUUAUGUUGGAUAAGUGAGACUCUACUGUAUUACUAUAUUGUCCUAUACCAAUAUAUUGCAAUAUAAUUAGAAAUAUUACAUGUAAUAUAAAUAUACAAUUAUAAUAAUAUA
This is an RNA transcript of Anolis carolinensis (green anole), 3864 nucleotides long. RefSeq lists it as uncharacterized. The record is from RefSeq and is a predicted model, not a curated record. The transcript is spliced from 3 exons. NCBI's taxonomy places the organism in Eukaryota, Metazoa, Chordata, Lepidosauria, Squamata, Anolidae.